GUUCUCCUACGGGAGGCAGCAGUGAGGAAUAUUGGUCAAUGGGCGAGAGCCUGAACCAGCCACGUCGCGUGAGGGAGUACUGCUCUAUGGGUUGUAAACCUCUUUUGUCGGGGAGCAAAACCCGGGACGUGUCCCGGACUGCGUGUAUCCGAAGAAAAAGCAUCGGCUAACUCCGUGCCAGCAGCCGCGGUAAUACGGAGGAUGCGAGCGUUAUCCGGAUUUAUUGGGUUUAAAGGGUGCGUAGGCGGAAUGCCAAGUCAGCGGUAAAAUCGCGGGGCUCACCCUCGCUCCGCCGUUGAAACUGG
This 305-nucleotide ribosomal RNA is filed under the name uncultured bacterium. Its description in RNAcentral is "bacterial SSU rRNA". It matches the Rfam family "Bacterial small subunit ribosomal RNA", at positions 333 to 636 of the family's 1533-position model. The record is from RNAcentral.